RNAcentral lists this ribosomal RNA (304 nucleotides) under uncultured bacterium. RNAcentral describes it as "bacterial SSU rRNA". It matches the Rfam family "Bacterial small subunit ribosomal RNA", at positions 497 to 802 of the family's 1533-position model. The record is from RNAcentral.
UGCCCUUUGCCAGCAGCCGCGGUAAUACGUAGGUGGCAAGCGUUGUCCGGAAUUAUUGGGCGUAAAGCGCGCGCAGGUGGUUUAAUAAGUCUGAUGUGAAAGCCCACGGCUCAACCGUGGAGGGUCAUUGGAAACUGUUAAACUUGAGUGCAGGAGAGAAAAGUGGAAUUCCUAGUGUAGCGGUGAAAUGCGUAGAGAUUAGGAGGAACACCAGUGGCGAAGGCGGCUUUUUGGCCUGUAACUGACACUGAGGCGCGAAAGCGUGGGGAGCAAACAGGAUUAGAUACCCUGGUAGUCCAAGGGC